GAAGAAUUAGUUAACUAAUAACAUUAGAAUGUCAAACUAAAGUAAUCAACUUAAAUGAUAUUUUUCC
Molecule: transfer RNA, 67 nt
Filed under: Perisphaerus sp. 2 ZQW-2023b
Lineage: Eukaryota; Metazoa; Arthropoda; Insecta; Blattodea; Blaberidae
Description: tRNA-Asp
Source: RNAcentral